AUUGAACGCUGGCGGCAGGCCUAACACAUGCAAGUCGAGCGGAUGAAGGGAGCUUGCUCCUGGAUUCAGCGGCGGACGGGUGAGUAAUGCCUAGGAAUCUGCCUGGUAGUGGGGGAUAACGUCCGGAAACGGGCGCUAAUACCGCAUACGUCCUGAGGGAGAAAGUGGGGGAUCUUCGGACCUCACGCUAUCAGAUGAGCCUAGGUCGGAUUAGCUAGUUGGUGGGGUAAAGGCCUACCAAGGCGACGAUCCGUAACUGGUCUGAGAGGAUGACCAGUCACACUGGAACUGAGACACGGUCCAGACUCCUACGGGAGGCAGCAGUGGGGAAUAUUGGACAAUGGGCGAAAGCCUGAUCCAGCCAUGCCGCGUGUGUGAAGAAGGUCUUCGGAUUGUAAAGCACUUUAAGUUGGGAGGAAGGGCAGUAAGUUAAUACCUUGCUGUUUUGACGUUACCAACAGAAUAAGCACCGGCUAACUUCGU
RNAcentral lists this ribosomal RNA (483 nucleotides) under uncultured bacterium. RNAcentral describes it as "partial 16S ribosomal RNA". It matches the Rfam family "Bacterial small subunit ribosomal RNA", at positions 30 to 506 of the family's 1533-position model. The record is from RNAcentral.